RNAcentral lists this ribosomal RNA (1619 nucleotides) under Escherichia coli. RNAcentral describes it as "partial 23S ribosomal RNA". It matches the Rfam family "Bacterial large subunit ribosomal RNA", at positions 1244 to 2843 of the family's 2925-position model. The record is from RNAcentral. Lineage: Bacteria; Pseudomonadati; Pseudomonadota; Gammaproteobacteria; Enterobacterales; Enterobacteriaceae.
AAGCCUGUGAAGGUGUGCUGUGAGGCAUGCUGGAGGUAUCAGAAGUGCGAAUGCUGACAUAAGUAACGAUAAAGCGGGUGAAAAGCCCGCUCGCCGGAAGACCAAGGGUUCCUGUCCAACGUUAAUCGGGGCAGGGUGAGUCGACCCCUAAGGCGAGGCCGAAAGGCGUAGUCGAUGGGAAACAGGUUAAUAUUCCUGUACUUGGUGUUACUGCGAAGGGGGGACGGAGAAGGCUAUGUUGGCCGGGCGACGGUUGUCCCGGUUUAAGCGUGUAGGCUGGUUUUCCAGGCAAAUCCGGAAAACUAAGGCUGAGGCGUGAUGACGAGGCACUACGGUGCUGAAGCAACAAAUGCCCUGCUUCCAGGAAAAGCCUCUAAGCAUCAGGUAACAUCAAAUCGUACCCCAAACCGACACAGGUGGUCAGGUAGAGAAUACCAAGGCGCUUGAGAGAACUCGGGUGAAGGAACUAGGCAAAAUGGUGCCGUAACUUCGGGAGAAGGCACGCUGAUAUGUAGGUGAAGUCCCUCGCGGAUGGAGCUGAAAUCAGUCGAAGAUACCAGCUGGCUGCAACUGUUUAUUAAAAACACAGCACUGUGCAAACACGAAAGUGGACGUAUACGGUGUGACGCCUGCCCGGUGCCGGAAGGUUAAUUGAUGGGGUCAGCGCAAGCGAAGCUCUUGAUCGAAGCCCCGGUAAACGGCGGCCGUAACUAUAACGGUCCUAAGGUAGCGAAAUUCCUUGUCGGGUAAGUUCCGACCUGCACGAAUGGCGUAAUGAUGGCCAGGCUGUCUCCACCCGAGACUCAGUGAAAUUGAACUCGCUGUGAAGAUGCAGUGUACCCGCGGCAAGACGGAAAGACCCCGUGAACCUUUACUAUAGCUUGACACUGAACAUUGAGCCUUGAUGUGUAGGAUAGGUGGGAGGCUUUGAAGUGUGGACGCCAGUCUGCAUGGAGCCGACCUUGAAAUACCACCCUUUAAUGUUUGAUGUUCUAACGUUGACCCGUAAUCCGGGUUGCGGACAGUGUCUGGUGGGUAGUUUGACUGGGGCGGUCUCCUCCUAAAGAGUAACGGAGGAGCACGAAGGUUGGCUAAUCCUGGUCGGACAUCAGGAGGUUAGUGCAAUGGCAUAAGCCAGCUUGACUGCGAGCGUGACGGCGCGAGCAGGUGCGAAAGCAGGUCAUAGUGAUCCGGUGGUUCUGAAUGGAAGGGCCAUCGCUCAACGGAUAAAAGGUACUCCGGGGAUAACAGGCUGAUACCGCCCAAGAGUUCAUAUCGACGGCGGUGUUUGGCACCUCGAUGUCGGCUCAUCACAUCCUGGGGCUGAAGUAGGUCCCAAGGGUAUGGCUGUUCGCCAUUUAAAGUGGUACGCGAGCUGGGUUUAGAACGUCGUGAGACAGUUCGGUCCCUAUCUGCCGUGGGCGCUGGAGAACUGAGGGGGGCUGCUCCUAGUACGAGAGGACCGGAGUGGACGCAUCACUGGUGUUCGGGUUGUCAUGCCAAUGGCACUGCCCGGUAGCUAAAUGCGGAAGAGAUAAGUGCUGAAAGCAUCUAAGCACGAAACUUGCCCCGAGAUGAGUUCUCCCUGACUCCUUGAGAGUCCUGAAGGAACGUUGAAG